AUUUGGAAAGUAAGCCCACCUGGAUAGGCAAAGCCUGAAGAUCAUACACAUAUAAACCUGUCUUGGAAAAGUAGCGCUAAUCCUCCUGGUCAUCACAAAGCCUACAAGAAAUUCUAUUCUUAAUAGGUCUCGUGAAGCUAACUUAAUAUCUUAGGGAAAAUACUUAACAUUCUAUAAUUCGUCACGCCGGGUUUCAAAAUUUAAUGAAUAAAUACUUGAAAACUAAAUUUCUUGAGUUAAGGACACCAACAAUAUCCUUACUCGAUUUUCUUUUAGUGUUUUAGGGUUCUAGCAUCCAUAAUUCGUUCCAUUAAAGACAAUCGAAAACCAACAUAACCUCGUGACUAACCACAUAAUAUCACGUAAUCACGUAAACAAUAAACAGAAAGAAAUAAAAUCCUCAAGUUUAGUAUCAUUAAAAUCACAAGUUCACAUGAACAUAAAAGAAAUCAUGCACCAUUUUUAUAACAUUCUAUACAUUUCAUUUUUUUUUUCAUGUAAAUAAAUAAGAAAUUCCAUUAUUCAUUUAUAAAUAAUAAAACAUUUUAAAAUCCAUUGAGAUGAAAUAAAACAUUUUAACCAUUUAAAAUCCAUACUCAAAAAGCCUUGAAAUAUUAUAAAAAUGAGGGUUUAAUCCCAAAAUUUGUUUUCAUUUUUAAAGUCCAUCAAUAAAUUAAAUAAAAGAACGGACCUCAUUUAAAAUAAAUAGUCCCAACCUUAAAUAUUAAAAUUUAAAUCAAGAGAUUUAAAUUCACUAAAAUAAUUUAGUGAAAAUUCAAACACAUAGGCAACACAAUCACAUAAGGCACAUAAGAAUCACAAUCAAACAUCAUUAAAAUAUGCUCUGUUUUUACACUGACUCAACUUCAAAAUUUAAACUGUUCUGACUCCGACAUCUCCUGGACUCGAGACUCAUACUGAAAGAAAUAUCUUCGAGUCUAGUUUCAUUUAAAAAAAAUAGAGUCGAAAGCUCCAAGUGGUUUGAGAGAUAUGACGUUUUUACCACGAUCUACCAUUUCUGGCAGUUUUGUGCAACCGAAGGUUACAAUUUUUGAAAAAUAGUAAACGUUGUCAAACUGGGCUCAACUUUGGUGGAUAUCUAGAUAACACAAUAAGGUUGAUACCAUAAAAAGUUGGAAAGCUAGAUCACAUAGGAAGCUACUUAAAUGAAUGACUCGUUCCCCUGUUCUCUGAAAUUCUCGGUAAUAAUGUGCAGUUUAGGUUUUGCAUUUUAAAGAAAUAUCAAACGAAGUUGAAAUAGCUUGAAAUUUUACCAGGGUACUCAAGACUCAUGUAGAAACUUGCUAUAAAAUUUUCAAAGCUAUUAGACAUCGACAAACCAUCGAUCACAGUAGGUCAGUAGGCCUACGAAAUUCUCCAAUUUGUAUUUAAAACUUAUAUAUCUUAAUAAUAUCUCUAACUUGAAUAUAACAUCAUAAUUCUCAACAACAACUCAUCCCAAAACUCAUUUCAUCACUUCUAAUCAUCAAUCUAAACCAUCACUUAACAUCAUAGCAUGCUCAAGAACUCAUAUACCCACUCAAAUCUUCAAAUCAACAUCAUAUAACAAAAUCACAUAUAGAAACACAUAUAUAUCAUCUUCUUCCUCAAACUAACAUUUUUCAUUUUUCACUUCUCAACCUCAAGCUUCAAUCUCAUCCAUCAUUAAUCAUCUAGAUCAUCUCAUAAACUCAAAUCCAUCAUCAUAUAACUCAAGCCAAGUCAAGAAAAUAAACAACAAAAUUCGUAGGGUUUCAAGCUCCUAAUUUUCGAAAGUUUCAUAAAAAUAAGUUGGGUGAUUUCCUUGCUCAAUCAUGAUCAUAUACUCACUCACAUAUCAUUAAUAUGAUCAAAUAAAUAAUCUAAGAUCACUUACUCAAGGAUCUAAAAGGUGAUCAAGACUUUGCUCCAACUUUGAUCUUAGCUCUAGCUUCUUGAAUUUGAUGAGAUAUGAUAGUAUUUGAUUGGAUUGGAUGGUAGAUUAUCUCAUAGUAGUGUUUGAUGAAGCUUCUCUAAGCUUUCUUCAAUGGACAUCAAUGGAGGAAAAGAGAGUAUAGAGAGAGAGAGGGGAGGCCGAGAAUUGAAGUGUGAGGGAGUGAAGUGAUGAGCUUUGUCUUGCAAUGGAUGAUUAAGGACAAAGCAUUAUUUAUGAUUAAAGCUUGGUUCCCUACCACCUUAGCACACUAAUCCUAUCUUCACUCAUCACACUUCCACUCAUGUUUAUUAGAUAAAAAAAAAUAAGUUAGUGGUAGGGAAAAGAAAAUAUUAGUGGUGGUAGGAAAAGAAAAGAUUAGUGGUGGAAGAGUAGGUGGAUAAAUUAGGUGGAGAAAUUAGGUGAUUAAAUAAAAUAAAAAAAAUCUUCCGGGUUGUACUAUGAAAACUGUAAUAAUCGUUCAGUGUUUGCUUAAAUAAAUAGCUCGUGAAAAUGCUAAAUGCUAAAUUAAAUAAAUAUGCAAUGCAUAUAAAUUUAAUAACUAAAUUUACAAAUGUUUUUGUAAAUCAUUUUUGUUGGAAUUAAAAUAAAUUCAUUUUCUUUAUAUCCGGCGUGAAUCAUCUUACUUCUAAGUUCAAAAUAAAUUCUAAAUUUAGCUAAGAAAUAGCGGGGUGUUACAUCCCUCCCUCCUUAUAAAAAUUUCGUCCUCGAAAUUGCAUAUCUGGGUAAUCUAGUUUGGAAUACUAGACUUCACUAUCAGUGCACCUACAUAGCUUGAUGCUUAUCACAUUUUCUAAUCGUGAGAAUGCUACGUCUCAUGUCUCGAGAACUGUUGACAAACGAACUCAUUCUAAUCAUACUAUGCUUAUCGUGAUCAAAGAAGAUCUUAUUGGGACAACUAUAUAGUACGAGUUUAUACAUUGGGAUGACUAAAUUGACAAUCACUGAGAUCAUAGUCAUGUGGGCUGGCCAGACCCAACAAAACGAAUCACUCAGUCAAAUGGGAGCUUCGCCCCCAAUCAUGUCAACGUCUUAUUUCAUAUAAGGCUCUAGUCAAACUUCUAACUUAAAACACUUACUAACAAGUACUUCAUCAUAAGUCACUGGUACCAUGAAAGUCCAUUCUAUGCCGUUCUAGCAAAGCUGUCACGACUAACAUUCUCAAGGCAUUCUUAGGUGGUACUCAAACGGUUUGUAAGAGGACUCAUCAUUCUAAUCAUAUAGGCAGCAACCUAAAAUGAUAACAUAAAGCUUUCUCAUUCAUUCAUUCAUACAUACAUACAUACAUACAUACAUAUUUGCUUUCUUUGAAACCUUGAGUCAUAUGGACAUUAAAUGUCCCUUUCAUGAAAAACUUUGCUUAUGCCGGAAAGAUUCAAGGAAUCUAACUCGACCAUACAUACAUUGAUUCGUUAAGGGCUCGGGUAGUCCCAAACACGAAACUAUCGUUAAGGGUUCGGGUAGUCCCAAACACGACAUAAUCAUACAUUGGUUAUAUGAGUCAAAGACCCAAAAUAACAACAUGAAGGAUAAGCAUUCACAUAACAUCAUAAAUAGAAAGCGCACAUUUUCAUGAAAACAUUCAUAACAUUGAAUACACAUAUAUAUUUUUGAAACUAUUAUCGUACCUUAGUUGCGGCAGUGUGACGGCGAGCUGAGGGCUACUGACAUUACUAGAAGUCUAGAGAUACUAUUCUAGACUCGACAUCAAAAAGCUUAUGGUUAUCAGAGACAUGAAAGAAAACUUAUGCUCUGAUACCACUCUGUCACACCCCAAUUCUUGAAUGAAUAAAUACAAUCGAGGUGCAACUAAUUCAUAGAAAUAAACAAGGAACAACCUUGUUAAAACCCGAAUAAAAUAAUAAGUCGGGCUAGUCCCCUUUGGAUCACAAGUUCUGUUUCAUGCUUCUGACAACCGACAUUCAUUAGCAUAAAUCUAGGAGUUAAGAGUCUAAACUCGAUCAGGGAUAUCAUUUAAUAUUGAACAUGAAGGUCUUAAGUUAAUAAAACAAAAGACAGUUGAAAGCUUGCAUUGCAGCGGAAGUCUUAAUAGAAUAUUGAAUCCUAGCCUCAGCUCCGUCCCGUCAACACCGACCAGCCAACCUGAAAAACAUUUGAAGGUAUUUUUGGGCUAAGUACUAAUGUACUUAGUGGGCAAGCAUUUUCAUUAAACAUUUCAUAUUUUCAUAAAGACAGUUUAUCCAAUCAUACUUGACAUGACUUAGAAGGUUUUAAAUAACUUCUAAACAUGUUAAAAUAAUUUUCAUUUGUGCGCACAUGUCACACUCCCUUUCCGUUACUCGCUGUGAUCCCGGACCUUUUAGCCACCGACUGAUCCAUUUCUUCUUCUUACUUGAACUGAGGGCGUAACCCAGUCAAGUUCCCAUUUGGGACCCAAUGCUCCGGAACACAUCCCGUCGAACACCCUUAUAACGCCUCAUACAUGAUUAGUGCCCGAAUGGAGAUCAACCCACCGAGUCAGCUAAUAGGUGUACACAAUUCUCAAAUAACGUGUUAGGUCAAGAGAGAACCUCGAUCGAUUCAUGUUGCGAGCCUUAAACGGAGCAGAGUGCACAAAAUAUUUUAUUGGAUAAACAGUUUGCAUUUAAUUGAAUAAACAAUUUGCAUUUCAUUGAAACAUUUAGAGCUUAAUAACUCAAUCAUACUUUAUACAUUUGGAAAGUAAGCCCACCUGGAUAGGCAAAGCCUGAAGAUCAUACACAUAUAAACCUGUCUUGGGAAAGCAGCGCUAAUCCCCCUGGUCACAAAGCCUACAAGAAAUUCUAUCCUUAAUAGGUCUCAUGAAACUAAUCUUAAUGUCUUAGUGGAUGUACUAAACAUACUUGAUUCAUCACGCCGGGUUUUCAAAAUUUAAUAAUAAAUAAUUGAAAACUAAAUUCUUGAGUUAAGGACACCAACAAUAUCCUUACUCGAUUUUCUUUUAGUGUUUUAGGGUUCUAGCAUCCAUAAUUCGUUCCAUUAAAGACAAUCGAAAACCAACAUAACCUCGUGACUAACCACAUAAUAUCACGUAAUCACGUAAACAAUAAACAGAAAGAAAUAAAAUCCUCAAGUUUAGUAUCAUUAAAAAUCACAAGUUCACAUGAACAUAAAAGAAAUCAUGCACCAUUUUUAUAACAUUCUAUACAUUUCUAUUUUUUUUUCAUGUAAAUAAAUAAGAAAUUCCAUUAUUCAUUUAUAAAUAAUAAAACAUUUUAAAAUCCAUUGAGAUGAAAUAAAACAUUUUAACCAUUUAAAAUCCAUACUCAAAAAGCCUUGAAAUAUUAUAAAAAUGAGGGUUUAAUCCCAAAAUUUGUUUUCAUUUUUAAAGUCCAUCAAUAAAUUAAAUAAAAGAACGGACCUCAUUUAAAAUAAAUAGUCCCAACCUUAAAUAUUAAAAUUUAAAUCAAGAGAUUUAAAUUCACUAAAAUAAUUUAGUGAAAAUUCAAACACAUAGGCAACACAAUCACAUAAGGCACAUAAGAAUCACAAUCAAACAUCAUUAAAACAUGCUCUGUUUUUACACUGGUUCAACUUUAAAAUUUAAUCUGUUCUGACUCUGACAUCUCCUGGACUCGAGACUCAUACCAAAAGAAAGAUCUUCGAGUCUAGUUUCAUAUAAAAAAAAGUAGAGGCGAAAACUCCAAGUGGUUUGAGAGAUAUGACGUUUUUACCACGAUCUACCAUUUCUGGCAGUUUUGUGCAACCGAAGGUUACAAUUUUUGAAAAAUAGUAAACGUUGUCAAACUGGGCUCAACUUUGGUGGAUAUCUAUCUAACACAAUAAGGUUGAUACCAUAAAAAGUUGGAAAGCUAGAUCACAUAGGAAGCUACUUAAAUGAAUAACUCUUUCCCCUGUUCUCUGAAAUUCUCGGUAAUAAUGUGCAGUUUAGGUUUUGCAUUUUAAAGAAAUAUCAAACGAAGUUUAAAUAGCUUGAAAUUUUACCAGGGUACUCAAGACUCAUGUAGAAACUUGCUAUAAAAUUUUCAAAGCUAUUAGACAUCGACAAACCAUCGAUCACAGUAGGUCAGUAGGCCUACGAAAUUCUCCAAUUUAUAUUUAAAACUUAUAUAUCUUAAUAAUAUCUCUAACUUGAAUAUAACAUCAUAAUUCUCAACAACAACUCAUCCCAAAACUCAUUUCAUCACUUCUAAUCAUCAAUCUAAACCAUCACUUAACAUCAUAGCAUGCUCAAGAACUCAUAUACCCACUCAAAUCUUCAAAUCAACAUCAUAUAACAAAAUCACAUAUAGAAACACAUAUAUAUCAUCUUCUUCCUCAAACUAACAUUUUUCAUUUUUCACUUCUCAACCUCAAGCUUCAAUCUCAUCCAUCAUUAAUCAUCUAGAUCAUCUCAUAAACUCAAAUCCAUCAUCAUAUAACUCAAGCCAAGUCAAGAAAAUAAACAACAAAAUUCGUAGGGUUUCAAGCUCCUAAUUUUCGAAAGUUUCAUAAAAAUAAGUUGGGUGAUUUCCUUGCUCAAUCAUGAUCAUAUACUCACUCACAUAUCAUUAAUAUGAUCAAAUAAAUAAUCUAAGAUCACUUACUCAAGGAUUUAAAAGGUGAUCAAGACUUUGCUCCAACUUUGAUCUUAGCUCUAGCUUCUUGAAUUUGAUGAGAUAUGAUAGUAUUUGAUUGGAUUGGAUGGUGGAUUAUCUCAUAGUAGUGUUUGAUGAAGCUUCUCUAAGCUUUCUUCAAUGGACAUCAAUGGAGGAAAAGAGAGUAUAGAGAGAGAGAGGGGAGGCCGAGAAUUGAAGUGUGAGGGAGUGAAGUGAUGAGCUUUGUCUUGAAAUGGAAGAAUGAUUAAGGACAAAGCAUUAUUCAUGAUUAAAGCUUGGUUCCCUACCACCUUAGCACACUAAUCC
Molecule: long non-coding RNA, 6798 nt
Filed under: Salvia miltiorrhiza (redroot sage)
Lineage: Eukaryota; Viridiplantae; Streptophyta; Magnoliopsida; Lamiales; Lamiaceae
Description: long non-coding RNA (SMIL_LNC012087)
Source: RNAcentral